UAAGGAAUAUUGGUCAAUGGAGGCAACUCUGAACCAGCCAUGCCGCGUGCAGGAAGACUGCCCUAUGGGUUGUAAACUGCUUUUAUACGGGAAUAAACCUUGGUUCGUGAACCAAGCUGAAUGUACCGUAAGAAUAAGGAUCGGCUAACUCCGUGCCAGCAGCCGCGGUAAUACGGAGGAUCCAAGCGUUAUCCGGAUUUAUUGGGUUUAAAGGGAGCGUAGGCGGCCUAUUAAGUCAGGGGUGAAAGACGGCAGCUUAACUGUCGCAGUGCCUUUGAUACUGAUAGGCUUGAAUGUAGUUGAGGUGGGCGGAAUGUGACAAGUAGCGGUGAAAUGCAUAGAUAUGUCACAGAACACCGAUUGCGAAGGCAGCUCACUAAGCUAUGAUUGACGCUGAGGCUCGAAAGCGUGGGGAUCAAACAGGAUUAGAUACCCUGGUAGUCCACGCCCUAAACGAUGAUAACUCGAUGUUUGCGAUAUACAGUAAGCGUCCAAGCGAAAGCGUUAAGUUAUCCACCUGGGGAGUACGCCCGCAAGGGUG
Molecule: ribosomal RNA, 541 nt
Filed under: uncultured bacterium
Lineage: Bacteria
Description: bacterial SSU rRNA
Rfam family: Bacterial small subunit ribosomal RNA
Source: RNAcentral